This 973-nucleotide ribosomal RNA is filed under the name uncultured bacterium. RNAcentral describes it as "bacterial SSU rRNA". It matches the Rfam family "Bacterial small subunit ribosomal RNA", at positions 8 to 1013 of the family's 1533-position model. The record is from RNAcentral.
AGAGUUUGAUCAUGGCUCAGAAUCAACGCUGGCGGCGCGCUUAACACAUGCAAGUCGCACGAGAAAGUGGAGCAAUCCAUGAGUAAAGUGGCGUACGGGUGAGUAACACGUGGAUCAUCUACCUCCUAGUGGGGAAUAACCCUGGGAAACCGGGGCUAAUACCGCAUAAGCCUGGAAAGGGAAAGCAGCAAUGCGCUGGGAGAGGAGUCCGCGGCCGAUUAGCUAGUUGGUAGGGUAAAGGCCUACCAAGGCAAUGAUCGGUAGCCGGCCUGAGAGGGCACACGGCCACACUGGCACUGAAACACGGGCCAGACUCCUACGGGAGGCAGCAGUGGGGAAUCUUGCACAAUGGGGGCAACCCUGAUGCAGCGACGCCGCGUGAGCGAUGAAGCCCUUCGGGGUGUAAAGCUCUUUCGGCAGGAACGAUAAUGACGGUACCUGAAGAAGAAGCUGCGGCUAACUACGUGCCAGCAGCCGCGGUAAUACGUAGGCAGCAAGCGUUGUUCGGAGUUACUGGGCGUAAAGAGUGGGUAGGCGGUUCUCUAAGUUCGGUGUGAAAUCUCCCGGCUCAACUGGGAGGGUGCGCCGGAAACUGGAGGGCUGGAGUAUGGGAAGGGAAAGCGGAAUUCCUGGUGUAGCGGUGAAAUGCGUAGAUAUCAGGAGGAACACCUGUGGUGAAGACGGCUUUCUGGACCAUCACUGACGCUGAGACACGAAAGCGUGGGUAGCAAACAGGAUUAGAUACCCUGGUAGUCCACGCCCUAAACGAUGCAUACUUGGUGUGAGCCGUUCAUUCGGUUCGUGCCGGAGCUAACGCGUUAAGUAUGCCGCCUGGGGAGUACGGUCGCAAGGCUGAAACUCAAAGGAAUUGACGGGGCCCGCACAAGCGGUGGAGCAUGUGGUUCAAUUCGACGCAACGCGAAGAACCUUACCUGGGCUCGAACGGCUUCUCAACGGCGGUGGAAACAUCGCU